RNAcentral lists this RNase P RNA (326 nucleotides) under Campylobacter sp. RNAcentral describes it as "RNase P RNA component class A". It matches the Rfam family "Bacterial RNase P class A". From Rfam's summary of the family: Ribonuclease P (RNase P) is a ubiquitous endoribonuclease, found in archaea, bacteria and eukarya as well as chloroplasts and mitochondria. Its best characterised activity is the generation of mature 5'-ends of tRNAs by cleaving the 5'-leader elements of precursor-tRNAs. The record is from RNAcentral. Lineage: Bacteria; Pseudomonadati; Campylobacterota; Epsilonproteobacteria; Campylobacterales; Campylobacteraceae.
CUGGCACGGUAAGCGAUCGCUUUUGUUUUUGCAAAAGAGGAAAGUCCGAGCUGCGAUAAGACAAGGUUCCAUCUAACGGAUGGCUAGGGAAACCUAAGGGAUAGUGUAACAGAAAGCAAACUUCCGCCUUGGCGGUAAAGGUGAAACGGCGGGGUAAGAGCCCACCGGCACGCUUGGUAACUUGCGUGGCCAUAUAAACCCAACUUGCAGUAAGAAGGGAUGGUUUUGGUCUUAUAUUAAAACCCUUCGCUAGAGCUUGUUUGUAAAAGCAAGCGUAGAUAAAUGAUCGCUCAAGACAGAACUCGGCUUAACGCCGUGCCUUUAAA